This 449-nucleotide ribosomal RNA is filed under the name uncultured bacterium. RNAcentral describes it as "partial 16S ribosomal RNA". It matches the Rfam family "Bacterial small subunit ribosomal RNA", at positions 29 to 523 of the family's 1533-position model. The record is from RNAcentral.
AACGAACGCUGGCGGCAUGCCUAACACAUGCAAGUCGAACGAGACCUUCGGGUCUAGUGGCGCACGGGUGCGUAACGCGUGUGAAUCUACCCUUGGGUUCGGAAUAACAGUUAGAAAUGACUGCUAAUACCGGAUGAUGACGUAAGUCCAAAGAUUUAUAGCACAAGGAUGAGCCCGCGUAAGAUUAGCUUGUUGGUGGGGUAAUGGCCUACCAAGGCGACGAUCUUUAGCUGGUCUGAGAGGAUGAUCAGCCACACUGGGACUGAGACACGGCCCAGACUCCUACGGGAGGCAGCAGUGGGGAAUAUUGGACAAUGGGCGAAAGCCUGAUCCAGCAAUGCCGCGUGAGUGAUGAAGGCCUUAGGGUUGUAAAGCUCUUUUACCAGGGAUGAUAAUGACAGUACCUGGAGAAUAGGCUCCGGCUAACUCCGUGCCAGCAGCCGCCGUAA